AUUGAACGCUGGCGGCAGGCCUAACACAUGCAAGUCGAGCGAGCGGCGGACGGGUGAGUAAUGUCUGGGAAAUUGCCUGAUGGAGGGGGUAAACUACUGGAAACGGUAGCUAAUACCGCAUACCAUCAGAUGUGCCCAGAUGGGAUUAGCUGGUCGGUGGGGUAACGGCUCACCUAGGCGACGAUCCCUAGCUGGUCUGAGAGGAUGCCCAGCCACACUGGAAAUGUGACACGGUCCAGCCUCCUACGGGAGGCAGCAGUGGGGAAUAUUGCACAAUGGGCGCAAGCCGGAUGCAGCAAUGCCGCGUGUGUGAAGAAGGCCUUCGGGGUGUAAAGCACUUUCAGCGGGGAGGCGUUACCCGCAGAAGAAGCACCGGCUAACUCCGUGCCAGCCGCCGCGGUAAUUC
This 406-nucleotide ribosomal RNA is filed under the name uncultured bacterium. Its description in RNAcentral is "partial 16S ribosomal RNA". It matches the Rfam family "Bacterial small subunit ribosomal RNA", at positions 30 to 526 of the family's 1533-position model. The record is from RNAcentral.